GCCCGCUUAGCUCAGUGGUAGAGCGCGUCACUUGUAUUCAUCUGAGCAAUGAUGAGGUCGGUUGUUCAAUCCAGCCAGUGGGCA
This is a non-coding RNA of Gyrodon lividus, 84 nucleotides long. NCBI's taxonomy places the organism in Eukaryota, Fungi, Basidiomycota, Agaricomycetes, Boletales, Gyrodontaceae. The record is from the annotation of a GenBank genome assembly.